GGGGAAGUUUCCGCAAUGGGCGCAAGCCUGACGGAGCAACGCCGCGUGAGGGAGGAAGGCCUGUGGGUUGUAAACCUCUUUUCUCAAGGAAGAACACAAUGACGGUACUNNNNNNAUCAGCAUCGGCUAACUCCGUGCCAGCAGCCGCGGUAAGACGGAGGAUGCAAGCGUUAUCCGGAAUUAUUGGGCGUAAAGCGUCCGUAGGUGGUUAUAAAAGUCUGUUGUUAAAGCCCACAGCUCAACUGUGGAUCGGCAAUGGAAACUGUAUGACUUGAGUGUGGUAGGGGUAGAGAGNNNNNCUAGUGUAGCGGUGAAAUGCGUAGAUAUUAGGAAGAACACCAGUGGCGAAGGCGCUCUACUGGGCCAUAACUGACACUGAUGGACGAAAGCUAGGGGAGCGAAAGGGAUUAGAUACCCCUGUAGUC
This 425-nucleotide ribosomal RNA is filed under the name uncultured cyanobacterium. RNAcentral describes it as "partial 16S ribosomal RNA". It matches the Rfam family "Bacterial small subunit ribosomal RNA", at positions 356 to 795 of the family's 1533-position model. The record is from RNAcentral. Lineage: Bacteria; Bacillati; Cyanobacteriota.